Molecule: RNA transcript, 1611 nt
Organism: Alnus glutinosa
Lineage: Eukaryota; Viridiplantae; Streptophyta; Magnoliopsida; Fagales; Betulaceae
Exons: 11
Source: RefSeq, a predicted model, not a curated record
ACGCUGUCCAAAUAUAAUCUGUAUGAACUUACGAAUAUAUAUGUAUAAAAGCGGCAAGCGCUCGACUGUGACAACUGACAACAAGCAUCGGAAAAAUGUCUCCGGUUAACCCGAGGGAUUUUAUGGAAGAGCUGGUGAAGUUCACUCUGGAAUCUUAUAUAAACGAAACCUCAGAAAUCGAUUUAGGUCUCUCGAAGGCCUUCUGCUCCAACCUCCUCGAAGACGAUCCCACCGACCCCUGCUUAGCCACGACCGAUUCUUUUGAAGGAGUCCCUCCAUACCCCUUAUACAAGCGUCUGGCAUCAUCUUUAUUAGACUCAAUAGAUUCCAAAGCCUUCUGUAGGUCACACUGCAAUUUGACAUUGAUCCCUGAGGGAAGCUCCUUGAAGCAGAAAGAAAAUGAAUGGCAGAAGCUGGUUUUGGAUAAGGGAGCCAAGAUAGUGAAUAUUAUGAAGACUGCUGUCCAUGAACUUCAUGUUCAGGAGCCUUUCUUUUCGCAGCUAAAAGAUGGCCAGAAAACAAUCGAAGGAAGAUGUGCUGUUGGUGACUACAAUAGAAUUGGUUCAGGAUCUAUGAUUCUUUUCAACAGAUGUGUGGUGUUUGAAGUUCAGGAUGUCCGCCGGUAUGCUUCAUUCUCAGAUAUGUUGACAGCUGAGAGUCUUGCAAAAGUUCUUCCUGGAGUUGAAACCAUUGAAGAAGGUGUACAAAUCUACAGGAAGUUUUACACAGAAGAAAAGGAAAGGUCAAAUGGCGUCCUUGCAAUCUUUGUUUCGAAAGUGGAUCUUCAGCCCUACAUUUGUUUGGCAGCCCUACUCUCUGGAUUGAGUUAUGGGGGCGUUCAAGGCCUUCUUGGUCUGACACAUACCACAGGGACAAUUCCAGAUGCACUUCCCCCACCAAGAUCAAUUCUUUUAUCAUCAUUUAUGUUGCCAUGUAAGCCAAAUAUUAAAGGUUGUACCUUGACUCAUGGAGCUAGGGCGUUGGCAAAGCAUGCUAAUAGGAGUAGCAGUAAAUAUUGGGGUACUUUGAAAGGAAGUGAUUCUGAUAAAAAUAAGCUUUCAAUGGAUGUCGUCUGUCACUUAAUAGCACAUUGUGACUGGUUGAAUGUGCAUGUUGUCCCACCAUAUGGUGUUGUCUUUGAAAUAAGGGUUGCUGAUGGAUAUGGUGCUCGCUGGUCUAAAGAUGGAAGCAAGGUACCAAUGUAAUGUUAUUGGCAUACACUACUUUGGGUUUUAAUUGUUUGUUUUGGGCCUAUAAAAGAGUUGUCGCAUGUGCAGUUUAUUGGAUUUCUGGAGCCAUACAUGGAAGACGGUCACUCAAAGGGAUGGAAGCACUAAUUUUGUUUGGGAAGUGUUUUCUUUAGCUUCCUUGAUUUGGAUAGGUAUGUCAAACAAUUGUAUUCCUCACUCUGUCUUUCUCAUGACAGAUCUUGUUAUGGUUGUACACAAAUAUGACCUCUAUCUUUUUCACACUGAACUUCUGCUCCUGUCGGUUUCCAUUGUUAUGGACAGGAAGAAAUUGACUGGGUUUGAUAGUCAAUAUUGGAUCUCAAGUCUGAGAUGUAUUUGCAAUACAUUGUACGAAUCCUUGAUGCAGUAUCUCUUGUACCAA